Molecule: small RNA, 518 nt
Filed under: Pan troglodytes (chimpanzee)
Lineage: Eukaryota; Metazoa; Chordata; Mammalia; Primates; Hominidae
Description: processed transcript
Source: RNAcentral
ACUGAAUUGUCACAUUGAUCUUGGACUUCUCAGCUUCCAGAACUAAUCCCAUCCAGGGUAUGACAUUGAACUUACUCAUCACGUCUCUAUAGUGUCUUCUGGAUGGGAUUGAAAUCUGCUGUGAGUUUAGACCUUUAUCUGUUUCACAAGACUCCCUGUAUUGAGUUGAACAUGAAGACUCAUCUUUCCCAGUUCCCUAAUAAGAGUUCCCAGGCUUAAAGCUCUAUGAGAGGCAUCACAAGUAGACAGCUGCAGCACUACAGCCUAUUUCUGGGACAUCCUUAAAGAAUGCUGGUGAAGGAAAAUCCUUUCUGCAGCCAGAACUUUGAACAGUAAACCUGAUUGUUCAUUUUGCCUGGAAGGGGAAAGGGCCUGAGGAGUUUGGAACUAAGACCCCUAGACAGCAGAUCCUAAGGGAGGAAUGACUCUACCAGGAGACAAAAUAAUGACUCUGUUAAAGUUGAGAUGGCCGGCUGACUCAUACCUCUGAUUCAAAAGUAAAGGAGUUGCUGUACUGG